Molecule: unclassified non-coding RNA, 203 nt
Filed under: Glomus sp.
Lineage: Eukaryota; Fungi; Glomeromycota; Glomeromycetes; Glomerales; Glomeraceae
Description: partial contains 5.8S ribosomal RNA and internal transcribed spacer 2
Rfam family: 5.8S ribosomal RNA (bases 1-72)
Source: RNAcentral
GUGAAUCAUCAAAUUUUUGAACGCAAAUUGCACUCUCCGGUUUUCCGGGAGAGUAUGCCUGUUUGAGGGUCAGCCUAAAAAAAAAUCGCCUUUGUUCCUGUAAUUAAUUGUUACUUUUCUCCGAGAUUUGGUUAUUUUUAACCUUUUUUUUUUUUUUGUUUUACGCAAUUUAAAUUUUUUUUUCCCCUUUCCAUAACUUUUUC